AUUUCCGCGCACAUCAGGGAAGUUGAUUUUUAUCCUAAGACAUAUACUGCUUAUCAUAUUUUAUAUAUAAUGCAUAUAACUAUUGCAUCCGUUGAAAGAAGCUUUACAAAGAUACAAUUAUCGAAGAACUAUUUGAGAUCAACAAUGACUCAAAAGAGUUUACAUGGUUUGUCAACAUUAUGCAUCGAGAAGAAAUUAUUUGAUUGGACUUACAUAAAUCCUAUCAUAAGUGACAUUGCAUCGAGGAAGGUUAGAAUUUUUAAAAGGUAA
This 270-nucleotide ribosomal RNA is filed under the name Triticum aestivum (bread wheat). Its description in RNAcentral is "partial small subunit ribosomal RNA". The record is from RNAcentral. Lineage: Eukaryota; Viridiplantae; Streptophyta; Magnoliopsida; Poales; Poaceae.